UACAGAGACUGCAAGCGUUAUUCGGAUUCACUGGGCGUAAAGGGUGCGCAGGCGGUUGGGUGUGUCAGAUGUGAAAUCCCGAGGCUUAACCUCGGAACUGCGUCUGAAACUACUCGACUAGAGUAUUGGAGAGGGUAACGGAAUUCACGGUGUAGCAGUGAAAUGCGUAGAUAUCGUGAGGAACACCAGAGGCGAAGGCGGUUACCUGGACAAUUACUGACGCUCAGGCACGAAAGCAUGGGGAGCAAAA
RNAcentral lists this ribosomal RNA (250 nucleotides) under uncultured bacterium. RNAcentral describes it as "partial 16S ribosomal RNA". It matches the Rfam family "Bacterial small subunit ribosomal RNA", at positions 524 to 773 of the family's 1533-position model. The record is from RNAcentral.